UACGUAGGGUGCGAGCGUUGUCCGGAAUUAUUGGGCGUAAAGGGCUCGUAGGCGGUUUGUCGCGUCGGGAGUGAAAUCCUACGGCUUAACUGUGGGCUUGCUUUCGAUACGGGCAGACUAGAGGUAUGCAGGGGAGAACGGAAUUCCUGGUGUAGCGGUGAAAUGCGCAGAUAUCAGGAGGAACACCGGUGGCGAAGGCGGUCUGCUGGGCAGUUGCUGACACUGAGGCGCGACAGCGUGGGGAGCAAACAGG
This 253-nucleotide ribosomal RNA is filed under the name uncultured bacterium. Its description in RNAcentral is "partial 16S ribosomal RNA". It matches the Rfam family "Bacterial small subunit ribosomal RNA", at positions 524 to 776 of the family's 1533-position model. The record is from RNAcentral.